CUGGUGUUCGGGUUGUCAUGCCAAUGGCACUGCCCGGUAGCUAAAUGCGGAAGAGAUAAGUGCUGAAAGCAUCUAAGCACGAAACUUGCCCCGAGAUGAGUUCUCCCUGACUCCCUGAGAGUCCUGAAGGAACGUUGAAGACGACGACGUUGAUAGGCCGGGUGUGUAAGCGCAGCGAUGCGUUGAGCUAACCGGUACUAAUGAACCGUGAGGCUUAACCUUACAACGCCGAAGGUGUUU
This 240-nucleotide ribosomal RNA is filed under the name Escherichia coli LAU-EC10. RNAcentral describes it as "partial 23S ribosomal RNA". It matches the Rfam family "Bacterial large subunit ribosomal RNA", at positions 2709 to 2925 of the family's 2925-position model. Lineage: Bacteria; Pseudomonadati; Pseudomonadota; Gammaproteobacteria; Enterobacterales; Enterobacteriaceae. The record is from RNAcentral.